RNAcentral lists this non-coding RNA (30 nucleotides) under Mus musculus (house mouse). Lineage: Eukaryota; Metazoa; Chordata; Mammalia; Rodentia; Muridae. The record is from RNAcentral.
UGAUGACCUGGGCCUGUAGUUACUUUAUCC